UAAUGAAGUGCCUGAUUUAAAGGGUCAUUUUGAUAGAGUGAAUUAUGUAAGUUUUACCUUCAUU
This 64-nucleotide transfer RNA is filed under the name Staphylininae sp. 1 ACP-2013. RNAcentral's name for it is "tRNA-Ile". The record is from RNAcentral. Lineage: Eukaryota; Metazoa; Arthropoda; Insecta; Coleoptera; Staphylinidae.